AGCACGGCUUCGCAGUGCGCACACGGGGAGCUUGUUCCAGAGAUGCUGCGAGGAAAGUCCCCAAUGCCUUGGCCGUGCGCAGAGAGUGCCUUGGUGCAGAGAGUGUUAGUGGGAGACCGCACGGCUCGUGCUAGGAGUGGGAGACCGCAGGGCUCGUGCCAAACCUCCAGUGGUGAUGCUUUUCGCUGAGCCUUGGUGGCUGGCUCGGGCCCUUCGCAGCAGCAACCUCCAGUGGUGAUGCUUCUCGCGGACAGACGCCUUCGUGGCGGGCUCGGGCCCUUCGCAGCGGCACAGACAUGCCGUGAGCGCUCAUGAUUGAGCACAGACAUGCCGUGAGCGCUGAGCGCCAACAGAACGGGGCUCACUCUC
RNAcentral lists this non-coding RNA (369 nucleotides) under Scrippsiella hangoei. The record is from RNAcentral. Lineage: Eukaryota; Dinophyceae; Peridiniales; Peridiniaceae.